Molecule: ribosomal RNA, 251 nt
Filed under: uncultured prokaryote
Description: partial 16S rRNA
Rfam family: Bacterial small subunit ribosomal RNA
Source: RNAcentral
ACGUAGGUGGCGAGCGUUAUCCGGAUUUACUGGGUGUAAAGGGCGUGUAGGCGGUUUUGUAAGUCGGAUGUGAAAUUCCCAGGCUUAACUUGGGAGCUGCAUCCGAAACUACAGAACUUGAGUACUGGAGAGGAUAGUGGAAUUCCUAGUGUAGCGGUAAAAUGCGUAGAUAUUAGGAGGAACAUCAGUGGCGAAGGCGACUAUCUGGACAGUAACUGACGCUGAUGCGCGAAAGCGUGGGGAGCAAACAG